Molecule: long non-coding RNA, 510 nt
Filed under: Homo sapiens (human)
Lineage: Eukaryota; Metazoa; Chordata; Mammalia; Primates; Hominidae
Description: novel transcript
Source: RNAcentral
UGAUAAUUCCCACAUCUGAGUCAUCUCAAGUUAUUUUUGGCAGAUUUUGAUGGAUGUACAUUGAUGGAUAGCCACGUGGAUCCAGAAAAUAAAGACUUCUACUCUGCAUUUGACUAAAGCAGAAGAUAUGCAAGGAAGCUCAGUCUCUCAAUUGAGUGGAUUCUGAAAUUUAUCCUGUUGUCUUCAGCUACUAAGGCUAAUUUGCAAAUCACACUGUGCACGGGGUGAAAUAGGAGCACUUAGGAAGCACUGCAAUGAAUUUACUGCUUAUUCAGCAUAUUGAUAGAGUCUUCUCUAAAACAACAAAAAGUGUUGACAGCAAACUGAAGAUCUUAAAGAAUGUGUGUGUCCCACCCCUGCAGUACUUCAGCAUUCUGAGGUAACAAGACAGUUGGCUUACUGCAUCUUAGAAAGGCUUAUUGAUUUUGUUAUUGCUACAACUAUCAUGGAAGCAGAGGCAGCAAUUUCUCAAGCCUAGUUCCAAAAGGAUUAAACCUGACAAAGAUUUAU